CGUAAAGAACCUGCCUCAUAGACUGGGACAACUAUUGAACGAUAGCUAAUACCGGAUAACAGUAUUUCUCGCAUGAGAGAUAUUUAAAAGUUGGUUAUGCUAACACUAUGAGAUGGCUUUGCGGUGCAUUAGCUAGUUGGUGGGGUAAAGGCCUACCAAGGCGACGAUGCAUAGCCGACCUGAGAGGGUGAUCGGCCACACUGGGACUGAGACACGGCCCAG
This 222-nucleotide ribosomal RNA is filed under the name uncultured bacterium. RNAcentral's name for it is "partial 16S ribosomal RNA". It matches the Rfam family "Bacterial small subunit ribosomal RNA", at positions 116 to 334 of the family's 1533-position model. The record is from RNAcentral.